RNAcentral lists this long non-coding RNA (2308 nucleotides) under Prunus dulcis (almond). RNAcentral describes it as "sRNA ncRNA". The record is from RNAcentral. Lineage: Eukaryota; Viridiplantae; Streptophyta; Magnoliopsida; Rosales; Rosaceae.
CUCUCUCUCUCUCUCUCUCUCCCGACAGUUUGAGAAAACCAGUCGGGCAGCCACCUUCCAAGCCACCCCAACGCCACCUCGCGCCACCCCGACCCUCCGGACCGGACCCAGCAGCACCGGCCAGCUCCCGCCAUCAACCCCAGCCCGUCCGCCGCCCUGCUGCUGUGUGGAGCCGCCGGAAACUGCUGGAAAACGCAGCAGUUUUGGCAGAUUUUUCAACCUCAGUUUCUCCCUCAUCCGGCCACCAAAUCAGUCGUGUGAGGUAUCGAUUUCUAGCUAUUUUUCGUGCUCUAACUGAUGGUUGGGUGGGUUUUGAUCGAUUCCACCUCUAGGUUGCUCGAUUUUCGAUUUGAAAAUCGGCCGAACUUCUGCCGCCGUGAUCGGCCAUUUCCGGUCACUUUUUGGGGUAUGUCCAAGAACAAAAGUGACUCCAAAUGAGGUGGUUUACCUAGGAUAGGAGUUUGGAGUCCUGGUUCCGAGAUUUUUCGAAGAACCAUAAUCGCUUUGAACACCCGAAUCUGCCCGCUCGUGUGGCGGCGCGUGGGAGAGGGUGGUGGAGCGACUCUGGACAGUUUUGAGAUCCUCGUGUCGAGCGUGUAGGAUUUCGCGGAUCUCGAUUCGGAGUCCGUUUGAGCCCCGAACGGAUUUUCCAUAUCGCGCGAUCCUUGGGUGCAGUGUCGUCCAAUCGUUGGAUCGCGCUGAUUUUUGGAUAUGUCGUACUACAUGAUUCCAGGAUCGUGUAGGAUUCGACGGAUUGCGAAUCGGAGUCCCGGAUACUCCGAAAUCGCGAACCCUGGGGCUAGGGUUUGGAUUUUAAGCAAUAACGCGAUUUUGGCUAAUCCGACAGUCCGUUCCGGACCAAAUUCGCAGAACAUGGUUCCUCCUUUGUGAGAAACCUUCAGAGAAGCUCAGAUUGGCCAUCGGACAUCGUGGACCCCACGGGUCCCAGGUCGGCCGAUCUGGCAGUCUAUCGCUUAGUUGAGCGUCGGACCUUCCAAACUGGUCCAAGUGUCAGAAAGGGCUAAUGUGGGCAUAUGAGUAACUUGGGAUGAGAAGCACGUAAUUCUAGAAGCCCGGGGCAGUGUGUUUAAUUUCAAUUCUUUUUAUCCAGCAAUUUAUUAAUUUAUUAUUUUUGGAUAAUCAGGCACCAGGAGUCCAGCUAACCCACAGGAGGGACCUUCGAAGGGUCCAGCUAGCUCGGACCAGCUGUGAGUGGACUUUUCUUUCUUAAAAAGAUUCUAUAAUUGUAUUUUCUAUUUGAUCUUGAAUAAGUGUUAUGGUAUGAGUUUUAUUAUGAAAAUAUCUUUAUUUAUUUUUAUAAAAAUUAGCCAAGCAACAGAUUUGAGGUUUUUGAGCCAGAAAUAGUAAUUUAGCUCAGAUUUACCAGAGUACAGAGGAUAUCAGAUUUUAUCAGAGACAGUUAUUUUAGACCACCAUGUACCCACCAUAUAUUGGUGAUUACCUAGAGUUUGACCGAUGUCUACGGACAUCCAGUCCGAUUUCAGUUAGUCAGUGCACUUGACUUUGCCUCACGAGUUCCGGGGACGCUCGGACCGUGAGUGCCAGGAUUUGCGGCUCGGCAGACUUGGUGUCCCGAGACCUGCCAGGAUUGCGGCUCGGCUGACUCUGUGUCCCCGAGACCUGCCAGGAUUGCGGAUCAGGCUGACUACGGUCCCCUGCAUCCUGCCAGAGCGACUCGAGUUGACUUGGUGUCAUCGAGGAAUCUGCCGGCGGGACAGGCUGAUCAUAGUCCCCUGAUUUCGCCAGUUUGCGGCUCGGGUAGCCUGUGUGACGCCCGAGACCUGCCAGGGAAUUGACGGCUAUUACAGGGGUACAAUUAGGUGGCAGUUUUAAAGAAUUUUUAAGCGUUUCAUGCAGUUAUUAUUUCAUUCAUUUAUAUCCGUACAUUCGAUACUCAUUCAGGUGUUAUACCGACAUAUAUCUUUGUUCAGUUGUGUGAGCAUUUAUAUAAUUAUACCUAUUUAUGUUAAACUUAUUGUCUUGAGUUUGAUUAUGAUCAAAUCUCAGCUUUUAUAUCCUUAUGUUUCCAAACGGGGGUUAUUAUGUUCUAAAUUGUUUUCACGAACAUUAUUUUUGUCCACUCACCAUUUUAACCUUGUUUUUCGCCCCCAGGCCGUAGAAGAAGGAAGGAAACCACCCGGGCCAUCAUCUUAGCUCCCGCCCCACCACCGAAGCGUAGGAUCUCGUUGUAACUUUUCUUAGUUCUGUAAAUUUGUAUAGAAACGCUCUGAUAUCUCGUUGAACAUGAAGAACUGAAGUUGAGAUCUGUUGUUUGAGUUAGUCUGGC